AGAGUUUGAUCAUGGCUCAGAACGAACGCUGGCGGCGUGGAUAAGACAUGCAAGUCGGACGAGAUUUUUCGUUGUAGCAAUACGAUGGAAAAUUUAGUGGCGAACGGGUGCUUAACACGUGGGCAACCUGCCAGGAAGUGGGGGAUAGCUCGCCGAAAGGCGAAUUAAUACCGCAUGUGAUUAGAGAGGACAUCCUUUCAAAAUUAAAGUCGGGGCAACCUGACGCUUCUUGUGGGGCCCGCGGCCUAUCAGCUAGUUGGUGGGGUAACGGCUCACCAAGGCUUUGACGGGUAGCUGGUCUGAGAGGACGACCAGCCACACUGGGACUGAGACACGGCCCAGACACCUACGGGUGGCAGCAGUCGAGAAUUUUUGACAAUGGGGGAAACCCUGAUCGAGCGACGCCGCGUGGAGGAUGAAGGUCUUCGGAUUGUAAACUUCUGUCAUUGGGGAACAAGGUGCAUACGUUAACUGCGUGUGCAUUGAUAGUACCCGAAGAGGAAGAGACGGCUAACUCUGUGCCAGCAGCCGCGGUAAUACAGAGGUCUCAAGCGUUGUUCGGAUUCAUUGGGCGUAAAGGGUGCGUAGGCGGCGCGGUAAGUCGGGUGUGAAAUCUCGGAGCUUAACUCCGAAACUGCAUUCGAUACUGCCGUGCUUGAGGACUGGAGAGGAGACUGGAAUUUACGGUGUAGCGGUGAAAUGCGUAGAUAUCGUAAGGAAGACCAGUGGCGAAGGCGGGUCUCUGGACAGUUCCUGACGCUGAGGCACGAAGGUCAGGGGAGCAAACGGGAUUAGAUACCCUAGUAGUCC
This 810-nucleotide ribosomal RNA is filed under the name uncultured bacterium. Its description in RNAcentral is "bacterial SSU rRNA". It matches the Rfam family "Bacterial small subunit ribosomal RNA", at positions 8 to 796 of the family's 1533-position model. The record is from RNAcentral.